AUCUUAUUGAACGUGUUUUAGAGGGCAUUCAGGAUCCUGCUUACCAAUCCGUUAUUGAUGCUGCAAACAACCGGGAUACUCUUAUUACCUUUGAUGAGCUUCAUGAAAAACUCCUUCUAAAGGAAGUUCAAAUUCGUAACACACCUUCCCCCACUCCACUGCCCAUCACAGCCCACGCCACUAGCACCCGCCCCACUGCCCCCUAUCCACGCAAGCACAACACUACCACUCCCCCAUCACAGUCUACCCGCAAGCACAACUCCCCUACUCCAUCUCCUACUGACAAAGCCACUGGAUAUAAGGGUAAAUGCCAGUGGUGUCACACCCUCGGCCAUUCUCUUUACCGUUGCACAGCUUUUCGCCAACGCUUCCCGAUGCUAGGCCCACUCUACCACCCCAGCAGCCCACGCCUUCCCCCCAAGCCAACCUUACCGUCGCACCUAAUGUCUCUGCCUCCUCACCUUGGUUGCUGGAUACCGGUGCUUCUCACCACGUUACCCAUGAUCUCUCUACUCUCUCCUUGCAUCAUCCAUAUGAUGGCUCUGAAGAAGUAAUUAUAGGAUCGCCUCACGGGGGCACCACUCCUGAAAGGGCCGGCUAAGCAGGGACUCUAUGAGCUACCUCCAUCUUUGGCCAUUCUUGCACUCUCUUCCAUCAAAGCUCCCGCAAUAAAUUGGCAUCACAGAUUGGGCCAUCCCUCUAUUUCAAUUUUCAAACACAUUGUGUCUGAUUUCAAUCUUUCAGUAUCAAGCUCGUUUAAUUUUAAUUGUAACGCUUGCCAGUGUAAUAAAAGUCACAAACUCCCGUUUGC
Molecule: long non-coding RNA, 811 nt
Organism: Chenopodium quinoa (quinoa)
Lineage: Eukaryota; Viridiplantae; Streptophyta; Magnoliopsida; Caryophyllales; Amaranthaceae
Exons: 2
Source: RefSeq, a predicted model, not a curated record